Molecule: small RNA, 457 nt
Filed under: Arabidopsis thaliana (thale cress)
Lineage: Eukaryota; Viridiplantae; Streptophyta; Magnoliopsida; Brassicales; Brassicaceae
Description: ATSL051960
Source: RNAcentral
UUUUUCUUUUCUUUUAUGUUAAAUUGUGCGAAUUUCAGAUCUUUUGACCUUAUAUAUUUUUUAGUGUCUGGAAUCAAUUUUGAGUUCAUUACUAUUUAAUAAAUGUCUUUCCGUCCUAAAAGAAGGUUUGAAUCCGGAGCGCAAAGGAAUCAACCACUUGAGCUACAACUAGGUUACCAACCCAUUUUGGUAGGUUUGUUGCUAUUAAAUACGAGAGUUCUCGUUCUAGUUCCAGAUACAGAUAUGGGCAUCAUGCCAUCUUUAAUCAUUUAUUUUGUGUUUUGAAAUGCAUUACCGUAUACAGGGCCGGUCCUAGCCUAAAACUGGUAAAGGCUUUGCUUUAGGCGCCAAAAAAUAUAUGUAGUACAAAGGGCAUCAAUUUCUGAAAACAUUUUAUAGUGUAGUGGUUAGCUCUAAAUGUAGAUAAUUGUUUUUAUGGUGCAUAGUUUAAAUCUCA